RNAcentral lists this ribosomal RNA (407 nucleotides) under uncultured bacterium. Its description in RNAcentral is "partial 16S ribosomal RNA". It matches the Rfam family "Bacterial small subunit ribosomal RNA", at positions 30 to 526 of the family's 1533-position model. The record is from RNAcentral.
AUUGAACGCUGGCGGUAGGCCUAACACAUGCAAGUCGAGCGGAGCGGCGGACGGGUGAGUAAUGCCUAGGAAUCUGCCUGGUAGUGGUGGAUAACGUCCGGAAACGGGCGCUAAUACCGCAUCCUCUCAGAUGAGCCUCGGUCGGAUUAGCUAGUUGGUGGGGUAAAGGCCUACCAAGGCGACGAUCCGUAACUGGUCUGAGAGGAUGAUCAGUCACACGGGAACUGAGAAACGGUCCAGACUCCUACGGGAGGAAGCAGUGGGGAAUAGUGGACAAGGGGCGAAAGCCUGAUCCAGCAAGGCCGCGUGUGUGAAGAAGGUCUUCGGAUUGUAAAGCACUUUAAGUUGGGAGGCGUUACCAACAGAAUAAGCACCGGCUAACUUCGUGCCAGCAGCCGCGGUAAUAC